GCAGCCGCGGUAAUACGGAGGGUGCGAGCGUUAAUCGGAAUUACUGGGCGUAAAGGGUGCGUAGGUGGUUNAAUAAGUUAUCUGUGAAAUCCCUGGGCUCAACCUGGGAAGGUCAGAUAAGACUGUUUGACUCGAGUAUGGGAGAGGGUAGUGGAAUUUCCGGUGUAGCGGUGAAAUGCGUAGAGAUCGGAAGGAACACCAGUGGCGAAGGCGGCUACCUGGCCUAAUACUGACACUGAAGCACGAAAGCGUGGGGAGCAAACAGGAUUAGAUACCCUGGUAGUCCACGCCGUAAACGAUGUCAACUAGCUGUUGGAA
RNAcentral lists this ribosomal RNA (318 nucleotides) under uncultured Legionella sp. Its description in RNAcentral is "bacterial SSU rRNA". It matches the Rfam family "Bacterial small subunit ribosomal RNA", at positions 511 to 828 of the family's 1533-position model. The record is from RNAcentral. Lineage: Bacteria; Pseudomonadati; Pseudomonadota; Gammaproteobacteria; Legionellales; Legionellaceae.